RNAcentral lists this ribosomal RNA (330 nucleotides) under Clostridium botulinum. RNAcentral's name for it is "bacterial SSU rRNA". It matches the Rfam family "Bacterial small subunit ribosomal RNA", at positions 1 to 327 of the family's 1533-position model. The record is from RNAcentral. Lineage: Bacteria; Bacillati; Bacillota; Clostridia; Eubacteriales; Clostridiaceae.
UUUUAAAUUUAGAGUUUGAUCCUGGCUCAGGACGAACGCUGGCGGCGUGCUUAACACAUGCAAGUCGAGCGAUGAAGCUUCCUUCGGGAAGUGGAUUAGCGGCGGACGGGUGAGUAACACGUGGGUAACCUGCCUCAAAGUGGGGGAUAGCCUUCCGAAAGGAAGAUUAAUACCGCAUAAUAUAGGAGAAUCGCAUGAUUUUCUUAUCAAAGAUUUAUUGCUUUGAGAUGGACCCGCGGCGCAUUAGCUAGUUGGUAAGGUAAUGGCUUACCAAGGCAACGAUGCGUAGCCGACCUGAGAGGGUGAUCGGCCACAUUGGAACUGAGACAC